AGACUGAAUCUCACUCUGUCGCCCGGGCUAGAGUGCAGUGGCAUAAUCUUGGCUCACUGCAACUUCCACCUUUCAGGUUCAAGCAGUUCUCCUGCCUCAGCUUCCUGAGUAGCUGGGACUACAGGUGCCUGCCACCACACCUGGCUGAUUUUUGUCUUUUUGGUAGAGAUGGGGUUUCACUGCGUUGGUCACGCUGGUCUCGAACUUUUGACCUCAGGUCAUCCACCCGUCUCAGCCUCCCAAAGUUCUGGGAGUACAGGCGUGAGCCACCAUGCCCAGCCUGAAUCCCCCUUCUCAAAAGUAACUUCCAUUCACUUUGUCCCUGGCAGUCUGCUGGUGACCAUGAUUUCUAAGGCUCACUCAUGGGACCAAAGGCAAGAAGAAAGGGAGGAGGGUGGUAACCAGAUAAACUUUGCAACCCCUUUGAUAGGACUUUUUGGGUGAGAAUUUUUAUGAAAAGUAAUAUAUACUUCUACUAUAGAUCUGCCUCUAGUUUCAACCUCUAGUUUUAGCACUGAUUUUUUCCCCUUAAUUUCCAGAAGCAUGAUAUAAUAUCUUUUUCAAAGAAAGUGGGAAGAAUGUCCACAGAUGUUAGGAGAAGACAAUUAUGUAGGAAAAAUAUUUUCUCAAAUUAAAAUUUAAAACAAAAGUUUGCAGGGAAUGGAGUGGGGUUCAGCAUUAGGGAGGUAGGAGAUGAUAAAAAUACAUAUUAAGUAAUUUGUACCCUGAUAUGCUUUGUAUGUAGAUUGCUUACAACUAACAUGAAAUGAGCAUUUCAUUCCUUAAGCAUGCUGUUGGGGGAAAAUGGGAGCCAGGCUGGAUGCACAAAUUUACACCAGAUGCUCUGUAUCCAGGUAGCAGAAAUGACUAACAGCACUGGUAUCCAUCAGUCCCAGAGCAAAAGCGUCUCCAGAGGAGGACAUCUGUAAAUCCCAAAUCUGAUCUCCUUCAUCAUCAUUAGGCAACAGAUAGGAUAAGACUUCAUGAAGAGAAUUUUGGUGGCUUUAGAUUGUUGAGAAAGUAUAUAUAGGAAAAAACUGGAAAUUAUGUCCAAGAUUUUUUGUCUAACUCCUUAUCCUGAUAUUGUUAACAUUUCACAACUAAAAUAAUUUUAACAGACAAUUAGUUUUUAAAAAUGUAUUUUCAUGACCUGAGACUACAGAAAUUGCCAUUUUCUUAGGACGUAGUUUACAUUUGACUCUGCUUACUGUGUCCAGGGCAUCCCCAAAUUGGGAGAGAUUGCCAAGUCAGUUGCCAUUUUGCCUUACUUUUACCAAGGACUAGCCUACAGGUUCAGUUUUGCUCUUGACUUUGGCCCUGAAUUGAGAACUGAGUCAAGAGAACAGAGUGGAAGUAUGGAGACAAAGCCAGCAGCUUUACUCAAAAAAUAUAUAUGAGUCUAGUAUUUUUUUUGUUUUUGAAAGACAUGUUACUGAGCCCAACCCAGUCAGGGAUCACUGAAUAUUGGGUUAAAUAAAACAAUAAUGUUAUUCAUGUGUUUGAAAUUAAUGUUUUAAAGAACCACGCACACACUUUAAAAUGUAACUGGAUUUGCUAUAUAGGCCAGAGAAAUAUGGCUGUUACGAUGAAGGCGUAACUUCUCUGGUUCUUGAUUAUUUACACCAUUAGAGAAGAAUGCAAAUAUGAAUAGCUCAGAGUAGUUUAACUUUGAAGUGAGAGUUUAUAUGCACCUUUAUAUGUGGGAUAACUGAUGUCUUUGGAAUAGACUUCAAAUGAAUGAUAAAAACACCUGUAAAGUGAUAGGACCUCUACUUUUUCUCAUGUCCAAUGUUCAGUUUCUUAUAAACCAGGCAUGAAGAGAAACAAAAAGUAAUUAAUUCUCCAGAUCAUGAAGUUGUCUUCAACCUAAGCACAGAGGUAUAAUAAUUACAUUUCUCAGAAGUUCCCCCUCUGUUUUGAGUCUCAAGGGCAAUUGAGAUGUCAGUGAGGCUGUGAUUAAAUGUAUUGGAUAUUAGAGGAUUUUAAAUACAAACAAGUAUUAUAGGUGUUACCACUGACCCCGAAGGUAAGAUUUACUGUGAAAAUUUAUAAUGCAAGGAAGAAUGAUCAAGUUGGCUGUCAGAACAACAAAAUAUUACAAACCAGGAUGUCUAAGAGCAGAAGUCCGUGGUUGCCACCUCUCAAGCCUCUUAGCUUAAUCCAAUCUAGGAUGCAUUUCCACUCUGCAACAAACAGUAUUUAUUUUUGCCUUAUUUGCAGAUAACAGUUUUAAUGCAGGUACUGCCCAUGGAUUAGCUUUGAGCAGUGUCUUUUUGCUUUGGUUUUUUUAUUUGUUUGGUUUGUUUUGAGACUGAGUCUCAGUCCUCCAGGCUGGAGUGCAGUGGUGUGACUUUGGCUCACUGCAACCUCUGCCUCCCGGGUUCAAGCGAGUCUCCUGCCUCAGCCUCCCAAGUAGCUGAGUCUACAGGCGUGAGCCACCAUCCCCGGCCAAGCAGUAUCUUUUUGCUUUGAAAGUGACUUACAUGUACAUUUGUUUUCCUUGUGAAUGUUUCUUUUUAACUGCAAACUAAGAAACAUUGAGCCCAGCAUUCAUAUAUUUGCAAACUCUGUCUUACUUAAUUUCUCAGUUUUUUUCCUCAGAAAAAAUGAAAUUCCUUUUCUUUUUUAAAUUUAUUUUUUCUUUAUUUUUCUUUAUAAAGUGAAGAGUAGGUAGCAUGAAUUCCUCUUGCCCUUUGCUAUUUCAGUCUGGCAUCAGUAGCAAUUGUUGCUAUGUCCAGUUUUCAUUCAUGGAUUUUUCUGGGAUUGAAGAUGAGUUCAAUGUUGAUUAUUUAAUUGGGCAGUAUAAGUAAAUUCAUUGGCUCUCCUUCCAGUUUAGUGAAUACUAAAUAUCAUCCAUGAUAUUUUAUACUUCUUACACUUCUGGAAUCUAACCUGAAAAUAGAAGUUGUAAGUCAGGGACGGUGGUAUGUGCCUCUAGUCUCAGCUAGUUGGGAGGCUGAGGCUUGAGCCCAGGCCUUCAAGGCUGUAGUGCACAAUGACUGUACUUGUGAAUAGCCACUGCACUCCAGCCUGGGCAACAUAGCAAGACUCCCACCCCUUAAGAAAAAAGAAGAGAGAAAAAAAUAGAAGUUGUGGAGAGGGAGGAGGAUGCUUGAAUACUUUGACCGUACUUGGCAUAAUAGACAUUUUGAGGGUUUUUUUGUUUUCUUAAAAUUCCUCUGGAUCAGUUUUCAUUGUUUCUAGUAAUUAUAUUUAUCGUUAAUGAAUUCAUAUUCUGCUCUAGCCCCUAAAGAUAGUUUGAUAUGCUAACUUUUGUUUUGCCUUUCUAGCUGCUAAGAUAGAUAAUGGUUAUUGCAAAAUGCACGUUUUUAAAUGGUCUCCAGUGUGGAUUGCUUCUGAGCUGCUGAUGGAUUGAAUACAUUGAGAAGGAAUGUGUCAUUUGGAAUCCAGGACCAGUCAGCAAGGAUAACUGCCUGAUUUUAUGAUUUCGUGACUGAUGCUGAAAUGGAAGCCAACCACUGCAGAAAUUUGGGGGAAAAUGAGAUCUGAAGAAUACAAGGGGAAGUAGGAAUUCAUUUCUAGCAUUUCCAAACCUGCUUAAUCGUGUCUGCUCCACCACAGUCAGAGGAAAAGACUGAGUUCAUGGAAAUUACCAGCUAAGCCUUACAUCUGUCUUUAAUGUUUUUAGGAAGUAUACUGAAAAGGUAAGUGAGAUGUCUGUUUUGAAGAAAGACUCUUACUGGGUACCUUAAAACCCGUUGUUUCCUAUUAGUAAAGAUGGGCAGCUUCUUUAUUCCUAGCUUCAAAAAGCCUUGCCCCUGUUUGGUGUGUUUCUCAGUAUUGUGGAGAAGGUAGUUUCUGAGCAAGGUGGUGCUUUUCCUCUGCUUCUCAGCAGCUAAGACAGAAAUUGCACCGAAGUGUACAAAGGGCCAAUUUUUGUUGUCCUGUUGUGCUCAAAUCCUUUUUUUUAAAAAAGUUAUUUCAAUCAAGUCUUAGUUUUAUUCCUCACUAUAUAGGAAAAAAAUCUUUAAUGCCUCAAAAGUUCCAUUCAGCAUUACAUUUGCAUUACUCUUAUUUGCAGCAAAUAUGAGUAAAAUUAUAGGUUUUUAAAGGUCUCUAAUAACAUCCACUUAUAUUGGUUUUGUAGAUAAUCCAUAAAUUACCAGAAAUAAAUUAUUCCACAUUUAUUACACACCCAUGUAAUAGAUGUCGUGCCAGGCCCUGGAAUAUACUAAUGGCAUCACCUCAUGUGGUAAAAAGACACAUUCCGCCAUCCUGGAGUAUACAAAGGUAGACUAGCAUAUAGUUCAUGUGCUCAAGGAGUUCAUUUUUAUUGACAUGAUACAGAUAGAAUUGUAGUUUAGGGAAUCAAAAUCUAAUAAAAUGAGGCUAAUUCCAUUUUCCCAUUAACACUAAUAACUAGUGUGUAAAUCUGAAUAUGACACAUUCUAUAUGAAAGAAGCUCUGUGUGCAUCUACACUAAAUACUCGUGUGUGCCAGGUACUGUUUUAAACUACGUAUAUUUUUUUAAUUCUCAUAACUGUUCUCUGAGGUAUGUACUAAUACUAAAGCUUAUUGUUAAAGGAAGGCAGAAAAAUUAAGUAACUUGGCCUAAGUUUGCAUAACUGUGAUCUGGGAUCAAUAUUUGAACCCAUACAGGCUGAUUGCAGAGCCUGCACUCUUAAUUUGAGUGUGAUAUUUAUGUGCAGUACCUGGCUAUAAGUACCCACAAAACGUUUCAAAUUCUUUAUAAAAUUUGCUUAGUUAAAAAAGUACCAAUUGCAUAAUAUGGUUAUAAGUCUGGUAGAAGUUAGGCUUUUUACAAGACAUGCUGCUUACUGCACCAAGGAGGCAAGAAGGCUUUUUAGAGAGCCCAGAAUUUCCUUUCCUCAACUCCUGCUUCCAAGACAGUCAUUUUGCAUGAUAACCGUUUCCCCAAAAAACACAGACACAAAAUUUAAAGAACUGGAACAGAGGAAGCAGAGCUUAUCAUAGUAUAUAUGUUUAGUACCCUGUCACUUAGGUCCACCCCUCUUUCUUUGUGGAUUGUGGACAUUUUGUUUAACUGCUAAAUCAUGAGAAUAUAUGACUGCUGAGACUUUUCCAAGGAUUUUUUAAAAAACACAUUAGGCUUUGUGCAGAAGUAAAGAAAAAGUGCUGUGAGAACCCCAGGUAGGUAAUUUACUUUCUAUUGUACUCAUAGUUUGUUUGAAACCUCUUCACCUCUAUCCCUUAUUGUUUUAUACUCUGUAAAUCUGAUUUUACC
This 5227-nucleotide long non-coding RNA is filed under the name Homo sapiens (human). RNAcentral's name for it is "HSALNT0290756". Lineage: Eukaryota; Metazoa; Chordata; Mammalia; Primates; Hominidae. The record is from RNAcentral.